CGGUAAUGACCUUCCGUAGGUGAACCUGCGGAGCGAUCAUUACCGAGUUUACAACUCCCAAACCCCUGUGAACAUACCAAUUGUUGCCUCGGCGGAUCAGCCCGCUCCCGGUAAAACGGGACGGCCCGCCAGAGGACCCCUAAACUCUGUUUCUAUAUGUAACUUCUGAGUAAAACCAUAAAUAAAUCAAAACUUUCAACAACGGAUCUCUUGGUUCUGGCAUCGAUGAAGAACGCAGCAAAAUGCGAUAAGUAAUGUGAAUUGCAGAAUUCAGUGAAUCAUCGAAUCUUUGAACGCACAUUGCGCCCGCCAGUAUUCUGGCGGGCAUGCCUGUUCGAGCGUCAUUUCAACCCUCAAGCCCCCGGGUUUGGUGUUGGGGAUCGGCGAGCCCUUGCGGCAAGCCGGCCCCGAAAUCUAGUGGCGGUCUCGCUGCAGCUUCCAUUGCGUAGUAGUAAAACCCUCGCAACUGGUACGCGGCGCGGCCAAGCCGUUAAACCCCCAACUUCUGAAUGUUGACCUCGGAUCAGGUAGGAAUACCCGCUGAACUUAAGCAUAUCAAUAGCGGGAGGAA
RNAcentral lists this ribosomal RNA (571 nucleotides) under Fusarium proliferatum. RNAcentral describes it as "eukaryotic LSU rRNA". The stretch from base 191 to 344 matches the Rfam family "5.8S ribosomal RNA". The record is from RNAcentral. Lineage: Eukaryota; Fungi; Ascomycota; Sordariomycetes; Hypocreales; Nectriaceae.